UACGUAGGAGGCGAGCGUUGUCCGGAAUUACUGGGCGUAAAGGGCUCGUAGGCGGCCAACUAAGUCAGACGUGAAAUCCCUCGGCUUAACCGGGGAACUGCGUCUGAUACUGGAUGGCUUGAGUUUGGGAGAGGGAUGCGGAAUUCCAGGUGUAGCGGUGAAAUGCGUAGAUAUCUGGAGGAACACCGGUGGCGAAGGCGGCAUCCUGGACCAACACUGACGCUGAGGAGCGAAAGCCAGGGGAGCAAACGGG
This 253-nucleotide ribosomal RNA is filed under the name uncultured bacterium. RNAcentral describes it as "partial 16S ribosomal RNA". It matches the Rfam family "Bacterial small subunit ribosomal RNA", at positions 524 to 776 of the family's 1533-position model. The record is from RNAcentral.